GCGGUACCCUGCGUUAGCCUACCUAGGGGUGUAGAAAAGAAGAAAAGUAUUAUUGUUGAAAUCUUGAUUGUAUUUGGAAGAAAAGAAAAUAUAAAUGUAAUAUGUAAAAAGCAUGUAAUGUGAAUGCUUGUAAUAACUUAGUGGUUUUAUGUUUUUGAUACUUAUGCAAUCCUUGCUUGAAAUCUGUUCCUGGUUGGAACCUCGCGAAUUGUAUU
Molecule: long non-coding RNA, 215 nt
Filed under: Ananas comosus (pineapple)
Lineage: Eukaryota; Viridiplantae; Streptophyta; Magnoliopsida; Poales; Bromeliaceae
Description: long non-coding RNA (ACOM_LNC023511)
Source: RNAcentral